UAACUGAAGAGUUUGAUCAUGGCUCAGAUUGAACGCUGGCGGCAGGCUUAACACAUGCAAGUCGAGCGGGGGAAGGUAGCUUGCUACCGGACCUAGCGGCGGACGGGUGAGUAAUGCUUAGGAAUCUGCCUAUUAGUGGGGGACAACAUCUCGAAAGGGAUGCUAAUACCGCAUACGUCCUACGGGAGAAAGCAGGGGAUCUUCGGACCUUGCGCUAAUAGAUGAGCCUAAGUCGGAUUAGCUAGUUGGUGGGGUAAAGGCCUACCAAGGCGACGAUCUGUAGCGGGUCUGAGAGGAUGAUCCGCCACACUGGGACUGAGACACGGCCCAGACUCCUACGGGAGGCAGCAGUGGGGAAUAUUGGACAAUGGGGGGAACCCUGAUCCAGCCAUGCCGCGUGUGUGAAGAAGGCCUUAUGGUUGUAAAGCACUUUAAGCGAGGAGGAGGCUACUUUAGUUAAUACCUAGAGAUAGUGGA
This 477-nucleotide ribosomal RNA is filed under the name Acinetobacter baumannii. RNAcentral's name for it is "bacterial SSU rRNA". It matches the Rfam family "Bacterial small subunit ribosomal RNA", at positions 1 to 476 of the family's 1533-position model. The record is from RNAcentral. Lineage: Bacteria; Pseudomonadati; Pseudomonadota; Gammaproteobacteria; Moraxellales; Moraxellaceae.